AGCGAACGCUGGCGGCAGGCCUAACACAUGCAAGUCGAACGAACUCUUCGGAGUUAGUGGCGGACGGGUGAGUAACACGUGGGAACGUGCCUUUUGGUUCGGAAUAACUCAGGGAAACUUGUGCUAAUACCGAAUGUGCCCUUCGGGGGAAAGAUUUAUCGCCAUUAGAGCGGCCCGCGUCUGAUUAGCUAGUUUGUGAGGUAACGGCUCACCAAGGCGCCGAUCAGUAGCUGGUCUGAGAGGAUGACCAGCCACACUGGGACUGGGACACGGCCCAGACUCCUACGGGAGGCAGCAGUGGGGAAUCUUGCGCAAUGGGCGAAAGCCUGACGCAGCCAUGCCGCGUGAAUGAUGAAGGUCUUAGGAUUGUAAAAUUCUUUCACCGAGGACGAUAAUGACGGUACCCGGAGAAGAAGCCCCGGCUAACUUCGUG
Molecule: ribosomal RNA, 433 nt
Filed under: uncultured bacterium
Lineage: Bacteria
Description: partial 16S ribosomal RNA
Rfam family: Bacterial small subunit ribosomal RNA
Source: RNAcentral